Molecule: ribosomal RNA, 424 nt
Filed under: uncultured prokaryote
Description: bacterial SSU rRNA
Rfam family: Bacterial small subunit ribosomal RNA
Source: RNAcentral
UGGGGAAUCUUGGACAAUGGGCGAAAGCCUGAUCCAGCCAUUCCGCGUGAAUGAUGAAGGCCUUAGGGUUGUAAAAUUCUUUCAGCAGGGAAGAUAAUGACUGUACCUGCAGAAGAAGCCCCGGCUAACUCCGUGCCAGCAGCCGCGGUAAUACGGAGGGGGCUAGCGUUGUUCGGAAUUACUGGGCGUAAAGCGCGCGUAGGCGGACCAAUCAGUCAGAGGUGAAAGCCCGGGGCUCAACCUCGGAAUUGCCUUUGAUACUGUUGGUCUGGAGUCCGGGAGAGGUGUGUGGAAUUCCGAGUGUAGAGGUGAAAUUCGUAGAUAUUCGGAGGAACACCAGAGGCGAAGGCGACACACUGGACCGGUACUGACGCUGAGGUGCGAAAGCGUGGGGAGCAAACAGGAUUAGAUACCCCGGUAGUCC